This 250-nucleotide ribosomal RNA is filed under the name uncultured bacterium. RNAcentral describes it as "partial 16S ribosomal RNA". It matches the Rfam family "Bacterial small subunit ribosomal RNA", at positions 524 to 773 of the family's 1533-position model. The record is from RNAcentral.
UACGGAGGAUGCGAGCGUUAUCCGGAUUUAUUGGGUUUAAAGGGUGCGUAGGCGGGAGUUUAAGUCAGCGGUGAAAGUUUGAGGCUCAACCUUAAAAUUGCCGUUGAAACUGGAUUUCUUGAGUGUAUUUGAAGUAGGCGGAAUUCGUUGUGUAGCGGUGAAAUGCAUAGAUAUAACGAAGAACUCCAAUUGCGCAGGCAGCUUACUAAACUACAACUGACGCUGAAGCACGAAAGCGUGGGUAUCAAAC